Molecule: ribosomal RNA, 255 nt
Filed under: uncultured bacterium
Lineage: Bacteria
Description: partial 16S ribosomal RNA
Rfam family: Bacterial small subunit ribosomal RNA
Source: RNAcentral
UACGUAGGGUGCAAGCGUUAAUCGGAAUUACUGGGCGUAAAGCGUGCGCAGGCGGUUCGCUAAGACAGAUGUGAAAUCCCCGGGCUUAACCUGGGAACUGCAUUUGAUACUGCGAAUCUUGAGUCCGAUAGAGGUGGGUGGAAUUCCCGGUGUAGAGGUGAAAUUCGUAGAUAUCGGGAGGAACACCGGUGGCGAAGGCGGCGAUCUGGGGUAGAUACUGACGCUGAGGUGCGAAAGCGUGGGGAGCAAAGCAGG